CUCUUCCGAUCUUACGUAGUGAGGUUAAGUUGAUAGGUGGAGUUGGAGUGAAAGUGAGUUUUAAAUGGGUGAAUAGUUGCGUGUAUUAUAAUUCGAAGUGGGGUGAUCUAUACAUGGCUAGGAUGAAGCGUGGGUAAAAUCACGUGGAGGUCCGAAUUUGUGAGAUUUGAAAAUCUCUGGGAUGAGCUGUGUAUAGGGGUGAAAGGCCAAUUAAAUUUUGUGAUAGUUGGUUUUUUUUGAAAGAUAUUUAGGUAUUGUUUUGAGUAAUUAAGUGUUGGAGGUAGAGUAUUGGAAUGGUUAGGGGUUUUAUUAGAUUAUUAAAUUGUACCAAAUUUUGAAUGUUGGCAAUUGUUAUUUUAGGAAGUAGUCAGUGGGUGAUAAUGUCCAUUGGUAAGAGGGGAAUAAUUUAGAUUGAUAGCUAAGGCUUUUAAAUUUAGACUAAGUGAAUAUUAGAAAGGAUGUGGUAGGUUAUUGAUAAUUAGGAGAUUGGUUUAGAAGUAGUUAUUUUUUAAAGAAAGUGUAAUAGUUUAUUGGUCAAGAUAGGUUGUGUUGAAAAUGUAAUGGGGUUUAAGUUUAGUGUUGAAGUUUUGGGUUAUGUAUGUUUUGAUAUGUAUGGUGGUAGGGGAGUGUUUUAAUAGUAGUGAAGUAUGAUUGUAAGGGUGUGUGGAGUGGUUGGAAGUGUUGAUGUUGAAAUGAGUAGUGAUAAAGGGUGUGAGAAAUACCCUUGUUGUAAACCUAAGGUUUUUUGGGGUAGGUUAAUCCUUUUAGGGUUAGCCGGGUUUUAAGCCGAGGCCGAAAGGCGUAGGUGAUGGGAAGUAGGUUAAUAUUUUUGUGUCAUCUUAUAGACGUUGAAUUGAGGAGUGAUGGAGAAGGUUAGGUGGGUUGGGUGUUGGAUGUUUUGGUUUAAAGUUGUAGGGGUGUUUUGUAUGAUGAAAAGGUGAGGUAGUUAUUUUUGAGAGUUGAAUGUGAGUGUGUAAGUGUGAAGCCGUUGAUAUUAUGUUUUUAAGAAAAUUUUUGUAGGGAGUCUAUAGGGUGUUUGUAUUGUAAAUUGAUUUAGGUGGGUGAGGAGAAAAUUUUAAGGUGAUUGAGAGAAUUUUUUUUUAAGGAAUUAGGUAAAUUGAUAUUGUAAUUUUGGAAGAAGGUGUGUUUUUUGUAGGUGUAGAUGAAUAAUUGAAGUUGAGAAGGGUUGUAGAGAAAUGGUGGUAGUGAUUGUUUAUCAAAAAUAUAGGACUCUGUGAAGGUGAUAAGCCGAUGUAUAGGGUCUGAUUUUUGUCUGGUGUUGGAAGGUUAAGGGGAUUUAUUAGCCGUAAGGCGAAGUGAUGAUCCGAAGCCUUAGUAAAUGGUGGUUGUAAUUAUAAUGGUUUUAAGGUAGUGAAAUUUCUUGUUGGGUAAGUUUUGAUCUGUAUGAAUGGAGUAAUGAUUUUUGUAUUGUUUUGGAGAGGGACUCAGUGAAAUUGAAAUAGUUGUGUUGAUGUAGUUUAUUUGUAGAAAGAUGGAAAGAUUCUGUGAAUUUUUACUACAACUUGACAGUGACACUAGGGAUUGAUUGUGUAGAAUAGGUGGGAGUUUUUGAAGCCGGGCCGUUAGGUUCGGUGGAGGUAAUAGUGAAAUAUUAUUUUGUUGAUUUCUGGUGUUUAACCGUGUCCCAUUAAUUGGGAUCGGGAUAUUGUCUGGUGGAUAGUUUGAU
RNAcentral lists this ribosomal RNA (1687 nucleotides) under freshwater metagenome. RNAcentral describes it as "bacterial LSU rRNA". It matches the Rfam family "Bacterial large subunit ribosomal RNA", at positions 616 to 2274 of the family's 2925-position model. The record is from RNAcentral.